This is a long non-coding RNA of Musa acuminata AAA Group (dessert banana), 692 nucleotides long. RefSeq lists it as uncharacterized. The transcript is spliced from 2 exons. NCBI's taxonomy places the organism in Eukaryota, Viridiplantae, Streptophyta, Magnoliopsida, Zingiberales, Musaceae. The record is from RefSeq and is a predicted model, not a curated record.
CAGAUGAUCUUGCACUCAAACACGAGAUGAUCUUACACCCAAUCCAAAUCUGGGAGUGUUCGGCCCACCAAAGUGGCUGACCCAAACAUGACAAGGGCGAGCCGCCUCAGGAUUGAGCCCAUUAAUGUGCGAGCUGCCUAAGGCUGUGAUCGCAUAGGAGGACAGCGGCGAGUUGCUACCGACGCGGCGGCCAUGGUUGGGGAGGGAGUUCGGCUUGCAGUGCCCCUCAGGCUUUACCAUGUCGCCAUGUUCCCCGAGUUCGAUCUGUUCGGGCUCUAAGGGGUGGUGAUUAAGCAGUACUUCGGGGCUCGGAAGGGUAAGGAGAUCACUGCCGAUGGCCACCCUCGCCCGAUCAAAUUCUUGGCGCAUUUGAAGGAGGAUGAGUUUGGGCUCUUAGAGAUGUCAUGGAAAGAACCGAGAGAAGGCAAAGGAGAGACGUAAAGGAUGUCUUCCAAGUAACAUGAUUCCACACCAUUGUUGGUUGAAGAGAUCAUGAUAUAUGAUCACUUUAAGUAUUCUACAUACUCCACAGCGAAGCUUUGUGAUGGCCUAAUUGUUGCUGCUGGAACCAGAAUCUGCUUCAACCACAUAGCCUCUGAGGGAAGGUGUCCUGUUAGUGAGGUCUGCUGAAGAAUGUUGCCACUCAAAACUUGUCUUCUGCUGCAUCCUUCUUCUAGCAAUGUAUCCUCUAA